GGAGGGAUGGCCGAGCGGUUUAUGGCGCAUGCCUGGAAAGCAUGUGUGCGAAUAGCACACGGGGGUUCGAAUCCCCCUCCCUCCGCCA
This 88-nucleotide transfer RNA is filed under the name bacterium. RNAcentral describes it as "tRNA-Ser". It matches the Rfam family "tRNA". From Rfam's summary of the family: Transfer RNA (tRNA) molecules are approximately 80 nucleotides in length. Their secondary structure includes four short double-helical elements and three loops (D, anti-codon, and T loops). Further hydrogen bonds mediate the characteristic L-shaped molecular structure. tRNAs have two regions of fundamental functional importance: the anti-codon, which is responsible for specific mRNA codon recognition, and the 3' end, to which the tRNAs corresponding amino acid is attached (by aminoacyl-tRNA synthetases). tRNAs cope with the degeneracy of the genetic code in two manners: having more than one tRNA (with a specific anti-codon) for a particular amino acid; and 'wobble' base-pairing, i.e. permitting non-standard base-pairing at the 3rd anti-codon position. The record is from RNAcentral. RNAcentral also lists the same sequence under 2 other names.